RNAcentral lists this ribosomal RNA (497 nucleotides) under uncultured bacterium. RNAcentral's name for it is "partial 16S ribosomal RNA". It matches the Rfam family "Bacterial small subunit ribosomal RNA", at positions 28 to 507 of the family's 1533-position model. The record is from RNAcentral.
GAUGAACGCUGGCGGCGUGCCUAAUACAUGCAAGUCGAGCGAACAGAUGAGGAGCUUGCUCCUCUGACGUUAGCGGCGGACGGGUGAGUAACACGUGGAUAACCUACCUAUAAGACUGGGAUAACUUCGGGAAACCGGAGCUAAUACCGGAUAAUAUAUUGAACCGCAUGGUUCAAUAGUUAAAGACGGUUUUGCUGUCACUUAUAGAUGGAUCCGCGCCGCAUUAGCUAGUUGGUAAGGUAACGGCUUACCAAGGCAACGAUGCGUAGCCGACCUGAGAGGGUGAUGGGCCACACUGGAACUGAGACACGGUCCAGACUCCUACGGGAGGCAGCAGUAGGGAAUCUUCCGCAAUGGGCGAAAGCCUGACGGAGCAACGCCGCGUGAGUGAUGAAGGUCUUCGGAUCGUAAAACUCUGUUAUUAGGGAAGAACAAAUGUGUAAGUAACUAUGCACGUCUUGACGGUACCUAAUCAGAAAGCCACGGCUAACUACGUG